This 213-nucleotide ribosomal RNA is filed under the name uncultured bacterium. Its description in RNAcentral is "partial 16S ribosomal RNA". It matches the Rfam family "Bacterial small subunit ribosomal RNA", at positions 524 to 736 of the family's 1533-position model. The record is from RNAcentral.
UACGGAGGGUGCAAGCGUUAAUCGGAAUUACUGGGCGUAAAGCGCACGCAGGCGGUUGGAUAAGUUAGAUGUGAAAACCCCUGGCUCAACCUGGGAAUUGCAUUUAAAACUUUCUGGCUAGAAUCUUGUGGAGGGGGGUAGAAUUCCUGGUGUAGCGGUGAAAUGCGUAGAGAUCUGGAGGAAUACCGGUGGCGAAGGCGGCCCCCUGGACAA